UCUUGCACAUGUAGGCUUGUUUUGUUUCAAAUCAUUUAUCAAAACUUACUAGGUCAUUUUAGGUGGUUUAUGAUUUAGAGUUUAGUUAUCUAAAAGGUAUUUAGUCAUUUUGAGAACUUAGGUAAUGUUUGGUUUAGGAUUUAGAGUUCAGUUAUUUCGAGAAAGGUAUUUUAGUCAUUUUGGGAAGAAAUCAUUUUCUUCGGAUAAAUAGUCUCACCUAGACAAAAUUAUCUCAAAUAUCCAUAUAACAAAACAAGGGUGCUUUUGAAUUAAGAUGGGACAUUUGUCUAUGUGUUAAAAUGUAGACUGUCAGAUUGAUUCAAUCUAAGGGUUAGAUAUAUAACUUGAAUAAAAGGGUACGUUCAUUUUUACUCCAGAUCCAACGGCCCUCCUACAAUCCACCCUCAUAUGGCCGUUGUGUUUCAAAUUUUGAAACUCCAAUCUAUAAAUUCUGCAGAGCUCUCCUUCUCAGUCUCCUCAUCUCAUAUAUCUCUCAUCUCUCUCUCUCCCCCCUUUAUCUAAGCUCCAACCUUGCCCCUUCCUCUUGGACAUCGCCUCACCACUUCCUUACCUCAGCCUCAUGUCAUAGCAAUGGUAAGGCUUAGGGAUUGUUUGAUUUACUGCUUGAUUUUGCUAGAGUUUGAAGUCGGCAAUGAAAUUGAUUCCAAGCUCCUGUAGUGGCAUUGCAGAUCGAGAAUCCUUCAACUUGAUUCUCUUUGGUUCAAAGAUCCUAACAACAAAUCCAGUUGAUGUUGGCAGGUCAAUUGAUUGGUUUGAGGCAAAGGUGCUGUUGGGUAUGAAGUGAGAAAAAGCCGUGAAUUUCAUGUAAUAAUAUUUUGAAAUGGUUUAGAUUUUAGAAACCCAUCUUCAUGUAAUGAUUUUUUUAUUUAUUUUUAAAAUGGGUUAGAUUUAAAUGUGUUUCUGAAUGGUUUUGAUUUCAAAAAUAUUAAAAUAAUAAAUGAACCAGCACAAUUAUUUAAAUGAGUUUCUAAAUAGAUUUCCAAAGGGAAAUAAUGCAUCCCCUAAAAUGGAGCUCUAAACAAUGCUUAGAGCUCUAUAUACUUGGCAAUGAAAAACAAAGAAGACCAAAACAUCAUAUCGCAUGAGACCCACCACCCCUUAGAGCCCCAUUAGAGCUCUUAUUUUAAAGCUCUAAAAUAUUUUUGAUUUCUAAAAUCAAUUUUCAUGUACUGAUUUUCGGAAAACCUAUCUUUUUUUUGUUUAAUUAGUUCCCCUAUGUAACUAUUCUGUUUAUAUCAAGCAUUAAUUAUGUUUUUCUCAUUCUCUUUUCAACUGUUCCGUUUCUCUACUUAAUGUUUAAUUCAGUUUCAUUCUCUCUCUUUCCUUUUUUAGUUGUGGUAAGUAUCUUUUAUAAGUAUUUGGUUGUAAUCUUUAUUUUAAAAAAAUAGUACACUUAAUUUUAUUUAAUGAACAUUGGAUUUAUUUUUAGUUAGAUUUGCCCAAUAACAUUGAUUUCAAGUUUGAUUCUUUUUUUUGUUGCCUACUAAUUGUUAUACAUAAUGUUUCAACUAGAAAAUGAGGUAUGCAUUAUCACAGGGAUGGAAACUCAAAGGAGCAUGAUCAUCCAAAAAUGGAUACUUCACACAUGGUGACUAAUCCGUAUUACAAAUGUUGGGUUAUAUUACUUCUAUCUGUGAGUCGUUGGUCGGCUCUCUCAUUCUAAACAAAAUGAUUAAUAUAUUUUUUUUGGUUAGCUAGGAUGAUUCUUUUGUAUCAAAAUGUUCAUUGACCUUUAUUUAAAGACAUUGAAAUCUGAUAAAGCGAAAGGUUAUUUGGACUUUAAUUUUGAAAUUUGUAAAUGCUUUCACUAAUUCAAUGUGUUGAAACAAUUUCAGUUUCUUAUAUAUAAAGUUUUAAAUUAGAGUGUUAUUACCAUUUUGAAUUGAUUUAUUACCAUUGAGGGGUUGUUUGGGAUGUUCUAAAUAAGUGUAUUUUUAACUUUUUAUGAAAUAUG
Camellia sinensis is the source of this 1975-nucleotide non-coding RNA. The record is from RefSeq and is a predicted model, not a curated record. NCBI's taxonomy places the organism in Eukaryota, Viridiplantae, Streptophyta, Magnoliopsida, Ericales, Theaceae.